GACGAACGCUGGCGGCGUGCUUAACACAUGCAAGUCGAACGGAAAGGCCCUGCUUUUGUGGGGUGCUCGAGUGGCGAACGGGUGAGUAACACGUGAGUAACCUGACCUUGACUUUGGGAUAACUUCAGGAAACUGGGGCUAAUACCGGAUAGGAGCUCCUGCUGCAUGGUGGGGGUUGGAAAGUUUCGGCGGUUGGGGAUGGACUCGCGGCUUAUCAGCUUGUUGGUGGGGUAGUGGCUUACCAAGGCAUUGACGGGUAGCCGGCCUGAGAGGGUGACCGGCCACAAUGGGACUGAGAUACGGCCCAGACUCCUACGUGAGGCAGCAGUGGGGAAUAUGGCACAAUGGGCGGAAGCCUGAUGCAGCAACGCCGCGUGCGGGAUGACGGCCUGCGGGUUGUAAACCGCUUUCGCCUGUGACGAAGCGUUAGUGACGGUAAUGGGUAAAGAAGCACCGGCUAACUACGUG
This 468-nucleotide ribosomal RNA is filed under the name uncultured bacterium. RNAcentral's name for it is "partial 16S ribosomal RNA". It matches the Rfam family "Bacterial small subunit ribosomal RNA", at positions 28 to 507 of the family's 1533-position model. The record is from RNAcentral.